This 236-nucleotide long non-coding RNA is filed under the name Pan troglodytes (chimpanzee). RNAcentral describes it as "lincRNA". Lineage: Eukaryota; Metazoa; Chordata; Mammalia; Primates; Hominidae. The record is from RNAcentral.
GGAAAAAAGGCCUGGAAAAGCACCAUUCCUGUCCAUGAAGCCCCCAGAUGGAACCAGGUCCUGUUCAGAAACCCCAUCUGUGCCUUUGGAGGGACUGCCCUGAGCACAGAGGCCCACAUCUACGGCCCCCAGGACCUAAUCCCCUUCUACAUAGGGGUUCAGUGCAUGUCACAGGCCCAGCAAUCACAUCUGCAGCCCCCAGGACCUAAUCCCGUUCUACAUAGGGUUCAGUGCAU